CCGGUAAACGGCGGCCGUAACUAUAACGGUCCUAAGGUAGCGAAAUUCCUUGUCGGGUAAGUUCCGACCUGCACGAAUGGCGUAAUGAUGGCCAGGCUGUCUCCACCCGAGACUCAGUGAAAUUGAACUCGCUGUGAAGAUGCAGUGUACCCGCGGCAAGACGGAAAGACCCCGUGAACCUUUACUAUAGCUUGACACUGAACAUUGAGCCUUGAUGUGUAGGAUAGGUGGGAGGCUUGGAAGUGUGGACGCCAGUCUGCAUGGAGCCGACCUUGAAAUACCACCCUUUAAUGUUUGAUGUUCUAACGUUGACCCGUAAUCCGGGUUGCGGACAGUGUCUGGUGGGUAGUUUGACUGGGGCGGUCUCCUCCUAAAGAGUAACGGAGGAGCACGAAGGUUGGCUAAUCCUGGUCGGACAUCAGGAGGUUAGUGCAAUGGCAUAAGCCAGCUUGACUGCGAGCGUGACGGCGCGAGCAGGUGCGAAAGCAGGUCAUAGUGAUCCGGUGGUUCUGAAUGGAAGGGCCAUCGCUCAACGGAUAAAAGGUACUCCGGGGAUAACAGGCUGAUACCGCCCAAGAGUUCAUAUCGACGGCGGUGUUUGGCACCUCGAUGUCGGCUCAUCACAUCCUGGGGCUGAAGUAGGUCCCAAGGGUAUGGCUGUUCGCCAUUUAAAGUGGUACGCGAGCUGGGUUUAGAACGUCGUGAGACAGUUCGGUCCCUAUCUGCCGUGGGCGCUGGAGAACUGAGGGGGGCUGCUCCUAGUACGAGAGGACCGGAGUGGACGCAUCACUGGUGUUCGGGUUGUCAUGCCAAUGGCACUGCCCGGUAGCUAAAUGCGGAAGAGAUAAGUGCUGAAA
RNAcentral lists this ribosomal RNA (857 nucleotides) under Escherichia coli. Its description in RNAcentral is "partial 23S ribosomal RNA". It matches the Rfam family "Bacterial large subunit ribosomal RNA", at positions 1920 to 2776 of the family's 2925-position model. The record is from RNAcentral. Lineage: Bacteria; Pseudomonadati; Pseudomonadota; Gammaproteobacteria; Enterobacterales; Enterobacteriaceae.